Dipodomys ordii (Ord's kangaroo rat) is the source of this 55-nucleotide non-coding RNA. NCBI's taxonomy places the organism in Eukaryota, Metazoa, Chordata, Mammalia, Rodentia, Heteromyidae. The record is from Rfam.
GGGAAGGUGGCUCAGUGGUAGAGCACUUGCCUUGCAUGCUCGAGGCCCUGGGUUC